AAUGAACGUUGGCGGCGUGGAUUAGGCAUGCAAGUCGAGCGAGAACCCCGCAAGGGGGGACAGCGGCGAAAGGGACAGUAAUGUGUAGAUUAUCUGCCCUCAGGCCCGGGAUAGCUGCGGGAAACUGCAGGUAAUACCGGAUAACAUCUCUGGAUCAAAGGCGUGAUUCCGCCUGGGGAUGAGUCUACAUCCUAUUAGCUAGUUGGUAGGUAAUGGCCUACCAAGGCUUUGAUGGGUAGCGGGUGUGAGAGCACGACCCGCGUCAUUGGGACUGAGACACUGCCCAGACACCUACGGGUGGCUGCAGUCGAGAAUCUUCGGCAAGUGGGCGCAAGCCUGACCGAGCGACGCCGCGUGUGGGA
Molecule: ribosomal RNA, 362 nt
Filed under: uncultured bacterium
Lineage: Bacteria
Description: bacterial SSU rRNA
Rfam family: Bacterial small subunit ribosomal RNA
Source: RNAcentral